GAUGAACGCUGGCGGCGUGCCUAAUACAUGCAAGUCGAGCGAACGGACGAGAAUCUUGCUUCUCUGAUGUUAGCGGCGGACGGGUGAGUAACACGUGGAUAACCCACCUAUAAGACUGGGAUAACGUCGGGAAACCGGAGCUAAUACCGGAUAAUAUUUUGAACCGCAUGGUUCAAAAGUGAAAGACGGUCUUGCUGUCACGUAUAGAUGGAUCCGCGCUGCAUUAGCUAGUUGGUAAGGUAACGGCUUAUCAAGGCAACGAUGCAUAGCCGACCUGAGAGGGGGAUCGGCCACACUGGAAGUGGGACGCGGUCCAGACUCCUACGGGAGGCAGCAGUAGGGAAGCUUCCGCAAUGGGCGAAAGCCUGACGGAGCAACGCCGCGUGGGUGAUGAAGGUCUUCGGAUCGUAAAACUCUGUUAUUAGGGAAGAACAUUUGUGUAAGUAACUGUGCACAUCUUGACGGUACCUAGUCAGAAAGCCACGGCUAACUACGUG
Molecule: ribosomal RNA, 497 nt
Filed under: uncultured bacterium
Lineage: Bacteria
Description: partial 16S ribosomal RNA
Rfam family: Bacterial small subunit ribosomal RNA
Source: RNAcentral